GCCUAAAGCGUCCGUAGCCUGUUCUGUAAGUUUUCGGUUAAAUCUGUACGCUCAACGUACAGGCUGCCGGAAAUACUGCAGAACUAGGGAGUGGGAGAGGUAGACGGUACUCGGGAGGAAGUGGUAAAAUGCUUUGACCUCCCGAUGACCACCUGUGGCGAAGGCGGUCUACCAGAACACGUCCGACGGUGAGGGAUGAAAGCUGGGGGAGCAAACCGGAUUAGAUACCCGGGUAGUCCCAGCUGUAAACUAUGCAAACUCAGUGAUGCAUUGGCUUGUGGCCAAUGCAGUGUUGCAGGGAAGCCGUUAAGUUUGCCGCCUGGGAAGUACGUACGCAAGUAUGAAACUUAAAGGAAUUGGCGGGGGAGCACCACAAGGGGUGAAGCCUGCGGUUCAAUUGGAGUCAACGCCAGAAAUCUUACCCGGAGAGACAGCAGAAUGAAGGUCAAGCUGAAGACUUUACCAGACAACGUAAAUCACUGAGAGGGGUCAGCCGCGCACCGUCCGGAGACGUCCUGUUAAGUCAGGUAACGAGCGAGAUCCCUGCCUCUAGUUGCCACCAUUACUCUCAGGAGUAGUGGGGCGAAUUAGCGGGACCGCCGCAGUUAAUGCGGAGGAAGGAAGGGGCCACGGCAGGUCAGUAUGCCCCGAA
This 652-nucleotide ribosomal RNA is filed under the name uncultured archaeon. RNAcentral's name for it is "bacterial SSU rRNA". It matches the Rfam family "Archaeal small subunit ribosomal RNA", at positions 508 to 1160 of the family's 1478-position model. The record is from RNAcentral.